UGGGGGGGUUCCCCUGAGCCCGGGCGCGGUGCUGGAGGCCUGUCCACUCCCUUUGCUCUCUGUCCUACCUCAUUGCUGUGUGACUCCUCACCCUGAGGUCCUUGGUGGCUAUUGCAAUGUGGGCUGGGAUUUGGUGGCAGAAGAUAAAUACAGUCCUGGGAUGUCAGGAGCUCGCCAGUCGCUCGAGUAUCAGGACUCAGCUAUCUCAUGUGUGAAAUGGCUAAGAAUCUUGGCAGUAUCUUGAUACAACGGUCAGGACCUCGUGGCCCAGGACAUGCAGGGCAUAUCUGUGCAUGGAGACAAAAAUGAAGUUCCACGGGGUCCUGGCGUCCUGGCAUGAGAGUGUGUCUCCUCAGAAGACCUACCUCUGGAGGUGCCCUGUGUUGGUAAAGCUGGCAAUUAGAGGCUGGUUCCAGGCCUUGGUGGAAAAGUUACAGCUGGGCAAGCCUCCUUUUGGCUUCCUGACCCUAGACUUCAACUCAGGUGUGGAGACAGGGCCUGUGUGGAGAGCUGGCUUUCUCUCUUCCAGCCCGGCCCACCACUUGGUUGAAGGGCAGAGACAAGAAGCGACCGGUCUGAGUUAUCGCAGCAAGUUGAUGGCAGGCCUGGCUUGAGAGACAAACCUUCCCUCAAGAUGUGAGCAGCACCUGAAGGCUCCUGUGCCCUUUCUGAACUAGAAUGGUUAAGACUUCGGGGACAUGUGACCCUUUAAAUUCUGAUGGAGGCUGUGAACCUUCUAGGAGAAUUCACAUACUCAUGUAGCUCUCACAAUGCCAGGUAGUUUCAGGAGCCUCGCGACUCCAGACUGAAGACCUCAGCCCUGGGCAGUUCAUCUGCCAAACUUUUCUUACUCCAUACAGGUGUGUCUCUCCUCCUGGUCUCUUCUUGUUUGUGAAUAAAGACUUCUGAGGCUGAGCCCCUUUUAGUCCGUCCAUCCCGUCUCCCCAAUCUAGCAAUACAUCUGGUUUUCAGAAUCUAAUCUCCCUCCCCCAGCAUUGCCCAAGGCUCCUGGGCUUGGCUGCUUUCUCCCUUUCUGUGACUGACAGACUGUGGGAUUUUACAAAGGAGCCUUGUAAGGCUAAAAGGCCCAGCUUGGCCUUGGCUCUGAUUUCACUGUGGAGUCUCAAGGGGAGGCUGGACUGCUGAAGGGUUGGUGAAUCAUUUGCUCUGUGUCUGCCCCAGGGAGUAGGGAUCCUGUUUCCUUUAGCCAGGCACUAAUCAGGCCUCUUGGCUGGCCAGGUUUGCAGCCCCAGGCAGGCAUCUCCUGGGAAUGUGAGGGUAGAAAGGCACCAGAAGCCCUGGGUCUAGGCAGAGGGAGAAACCUGUGGAGGAGUUUCUUUGUGUCUCAUAAGUAAGCAGGGGUACAGGCAGGGGGUGUGGGUCUUGGGUCACUGUUGGUCAAGGACUCCUGUCUUCGCAUGUGAGCAAGUCAGCUGGGGGGCCACAGAUGUUUCUCUUCUUCCCCAGAAUGAACCACUCGUUAAGAAAGGCGGGGCUCCCUUUCCUGUACCAGGACUUGCUAGAAACCUAUGGAUUCCUAACCUGGGAUCUUACUGCCUAUAUCCCCCAUGCACAUUCUUAAUGAACCCCCAUGCCUUAUUCUGGGGUCACUGAGUGCAGGGGAGGCAGUCCACACCCCAGGAGCUUCCACGCACCUCUUUUCCUUGGCUAAUCUAGAGGAGCCCUCACCAUGCCCCUCAGCUAAUUACCCAGCUUGUCUCUUCCCUGCUGUAACUCUGUCAUGGCUUCCCCUGUACUGCUCUGAGACGGUCAUCUCCCCGACCCCCCGCCAGGACCCCUCCGUUAUUCGCCAGGGCUGAACCUCCCAGCCCACCCGGCCUUUGCUCCCUCUGUACCACACUCAUGUUAACACGUGGCGUCUCCCUUGAGUACUGUAAUGUUUAGUCUUGUGCUCACUGCUUCUGUGUCGUAUGUAUGUGUGCUGUUUGUACACAUGUGCACCUCGAACCCCCAACUAGACUGUGAGCUCCCUGAGGGCAAGGGGCUGUCAUUUCGUCUUCCAGAUCCAGGUGGGUCUGGCACAGGGCUGGGCUCCUAACUCUCAGGAAGACACUUGUCAACGGGCUGAUGGAAUAAAUGUUGGAGGCUGGGGUGGUAGGGAACAAGGGGAGAGUACACGUGUAGCUGGCAGUGCAUUGGGCUGAGUGGUGAGCUGGCUCCUUGGAUCAAUAAUGGAUGCUCGAGGGCCUCAGGGUAGAAGCAGAAGGGACACCCCGCCCCUCAACACACACCAUGGAUGCACAGGAAUGCACUUGAAUGGAUGCUCACGUUGGAUGUUCCUGAGGUCCCUGACAUCUGUUGGAGCUGACCCAAAUAAAAGUUCUCGACCACAGCUGGUAUGUGGAGCAGUCUUUGGGGUACGUAGCUGGGAAGAGGGUUGUGGCUUCUCUCUCAGCCUGUAUCUUAGCCUCCAUCACUUGUGGGAGAGUUCCUUCAAGGUGACAUGGACUUGUGUUCAAAGUGGAAUAGUAGCCAAAGACUACAGGAAGCGGAUCACCAACUACCACAGUUAGCACAGGCCUCCCAGUCCAGUCAGUGACCACUAUUGGGGUCUGGGUAACAGACACCAGCAUCUCCCUAUCACUCUCAGUCCACAGUGGAAUAACUCCUGCCAAGUGCUGGGCCACCAAGAUUUGAGUCAGGAGACAGGACUCUAGGGCGGGCCAUCGGGCCAGUCACGGCUCUAAUUGUCGUCCUAACAGAGCCCCUACUCUGACUUAAACUGCAGUGAUAAGUCAGAUAGAACGGAUGCGAAUUCAGAGCACAUCCACACCCCUGUCCUUGUUCUAAGGUGGAGCCUGUCACAGACCACAUCCUCUCUAGUGGUGGACCUCCGUCAGUCUCAUUAAUGUGUAGGGUCCGGGCCCAAGUAUGGCCGAGGAGUACUCUAGAUUCUGUCAUUGACCAAGAAGGGUCAUGAGUGGGAAGUCACUCGGGACAGUGCCUGUGAAGCCUGACUCAAGGGUGAGAGUGGGGCGGGGGUGUGGUCAGGCUCUUGUGCUCCACUCAUGUCGCCUAAACUGAAGGUGACAGUGGCUCCACCCUUCUCUCACCCAUCCCCAUACCUCCAGUGGCAGAAGCAGCAGUUGUGGCCCAGCUUCUGCUGGCCCAGGGCAGUUCUUCAUGAUGAACUUCAGACAGAGUUGUAGCCUGGCCCAGCCUGAGCUAUGGCCUGAAGAGGACCUUAUGAACGGCUGGGUCACAGCUCUUCAGAGAGUCCUACCUGUCACAGUGUGAGAACAGGGGAAGAAAACCAGAGCUGAGUGGAUGGUGGAUAAAUCUCGGGAUGCCAUGUGACCAGCUGCCUCCUGCCCCCACACCUUCCUGAUGGCCCUUCCCUCUGCUGCCAUUUCUUCCCUGCCACGAUGGAAAGACUCUUGAACUAUGAGCCAGGACAAACCCUUCCUUCUAGAACUGCCUCAUGUCAUGUAUUUGUCCACAGCAGUGGGGAUGAACACAGACACCAGGGCUUAUGGCUGUCCAUCCUGGGCGUUGCCUCACCCUGCCCCAGAGUUGGGCAAGGAGUCAGCUGUGGGAGUUUCUCCUGGGUGUGCCCUGGACUGUUGACCUGAGGGCACAGACACACAUGGCUGGUGAUAGGCUGUGUCAAAGGCCCUUGGGAAUGUGAGGAGUCCUUUCUGUCCCAACCGUAUAGCUGGGUCUCCAGGAGUAGGCAGCAGGGAUCCCAAGAUGGUGUUACCCUUCUUCUGGUCUCUGAGAUGCUUCAAGAUGCUUCAAGUCGGCACUACCCUACCACAGCAGACAUCAUCUCCACCUUCAGCAGAGGCUUGGUAUGCCGUGCCCAAGGUACACUCACGUGGUUCAGCCUCAGAAGACUUCGGGAGGCCUGGGGGACUCAUCACCAGUAAAUGCUUCACUUGAAAGUCUGGGCCAGACCUCCACUUCCACAGCAGGUCUAGCACACUGUAGGAGCCACGGGGAUACACGCUGUCUGCUGUCUGACUCUGCUUCCGUGGCCAUUUUUAUUCAGGCUGACUGAGGAGUUCGAUUGUAUGAGAAAAUCAUAACUACUAAUUUCAAGCAUAUUGAAAAUUUUUGAGACACAAUUUAACAAUUCGUUAAUUGAUUGUCCUGUAAACAUGCAAUAAAGAGAUUAAUUUUA
This is a long non-coding RNA of Arvicola amphibius (Eurasian water vole), 4144 nucleotides long. RefSeq lists it as uncharacterized. NCBI's taxonomy places the organism in Eukaryota, Metazoa, Chordata, Mammalia, Rodentia, Cricetidae. The transcript is spliced from 5 exons. The record is from RefSeq and is a predicted model, not a curated record.